UACACUAUUAGAGGCACUGCCUGCCCACUGACAUCUGUUAAACGGCCGCGGUAUCCUGACCGUGCAAAGGUAGCAUAAUCAUUUGUUCUCUAAAUAAGGACUUGUAUGAACGGCCACACGAGGGUUUUACUGUCUCUUACUUCCAAUCAGUGAAAUUGACCCUCCCGUGAAGAGGCGGGAAUGCAUAAAUAAGACGAGAAGACCCUAUGGAGCUUUAAUUAAUUAGCCCAAUAAAGAAACAACCUAUCCCCCUAGGGCAAACCCUAAACUUUUUAGGGGGAUAACAUUUUGUGUUGGGGUGACCUCAGAAUACAAAACCCCUUCAGAGAGACAAACCCUUACACCAACAUCUCAACGGAUAUACUCUUUUAGUGCCCCAACAUAUUGAUCAGCGGAACAUUUUACCAUAGGGAUAACAGCGCACUCAUAUUUGAGACUCCAUAUCCAUAAUAGGUUUUACCACCUCUAUGUUGGAUCAAGACCUCCCAGUGGCGCAACCUCUAUUAGGGUCUCUUUUGUUCAACUAUUAAUCCCCUACGUGU
This 542-nucleotide ribosomal RNA is filed under the name Pteropus vampyrus (large flying fox). RNAcentral describes it as "partial 16S ribosomal RNA". It matches the Rfam family "Bacterial large subunit ribosomal RNA", at positions 1839 to 2603 of the family's 2925-position model. The record is from RNAcentral. Lineage: Eukaryota; Metazoa; Chordata; Mammalia; Chiroptera; Pteropodidae.